UCUAGGACGUAGACAAGUGGCGAGAGU
RNAcentral lists this small RNA (27 nucleotides) under Bombyx mori (domestic silkworm). Its description in RNAcentral is "piRNA piR-bmo-1267771". The record is from RNAcentral. Lineage: Eukaryota; Metazoa; Arthropoda; Insecta; Lepidoptera; Bombycidae.